This is a non-coding RNA of Larimichthys crocea (large yellow croaker), 46 nucleotides long. The record is from Rfam. NCBI's taxonomy places the organism in Eukaryota, Metazoa, Chordata, Actinopteri, Sciaenidae.
ACAAAGGUCCUUUUCAGGACCAUCCACCAUCUCAACUAAAAGCUGU